CCUACGGGAGGCUGCAGUGGGGAAUAUUGGACAAUGGGCGAAAGCCUGAUCCAGCAAUGCCGCGUGAGUGAUGAAGGCCUUAGGGUUGUAAAGCUCUUUUACCCGGGAUGAUAAUGACAGUAUCGGGAGAAUAAGCUCCGGCUAACUCCGUGCCAGCAGCCGCGGUAAUACGGAGGGAGCUAGCGUUGUUCGGAAUUACUGGGCGUAAAGCGCACGUAGGCGGCUUUUUAAGUCAGGGGUGAAAUCCCGGGGCUCAACCCCGGAACUGCCCUUGAAACUGGGAAGCUAGAAUCUUGGAGAGGCGAGUGGAAUUCCGAGUGUAGAGGUGAAAUUCGUAGAUAUUCGGAAGAACACCAGUGGCGAAGGCGACUCGCUGGACAAGUAUUGACGCUGAGGUGCGAAAGCGUGGGGAGCAAACAGGAUUAGAUACCCCUGUAGUC
This 440-nucleotide ribosomal RNA is filed under the name uncultured Porphyrobacter sp. RNAcentral's name for it is "bacterial SSU rRNA". It matches the Rfam family "Bacterial small subunit ribosomal RNA", at positions 338 to 795 of the family's 1533-position model. Lineage: Bacteria; Pseudomonadati; Pseudomonadota; Alphaproteobacteria; Sphingomonadales; Erythrobacteraceae. The record is from RNAcentral.